ACACUGUUGGUGAAGUGGUUAUCAUGCUUGCCUUCCAUGAACCCCUGACCUGGAUGUGAUGAGCAAGCGGCUCGGGUUCGAUUCCCGAACGGUGUA
Molecule: transfer RNA, 96 nt
Filed under: Lentinula aff. boryana
Lineage: Eukaryota; Fungi; Basidiomycota; Agaricomycetes; Agaricales; Omphalotaceae
Description: tRNA-Gly
Rfam family: tRNA
About the family: Transfer RNA (tRNA) molecules are approximately 80 nucleotides in length.
Source: RNAcentral